This 447-nucleotide ribosomal RNA is filed under the name uncultured bacterium. RNAcentral's name for it is "partial 16S ribosomal RNA". It matches the Rfam family "Bacterial small subunit ribosomal RNA", at positions 330 to 793 of the family's 1533-position model. The record is from RNAcentral.
UCCAGACUCCUACGGGAGGCAGCAGUGGGGGAUAUUGCACAAUGGGGGGAACCCUGAUGCAGCGACGCCGCGUGGGUGAAGGAGCGUUUCGGCGCGUAAAGCCCUAUCGGCAGGGAAGAAGGAGGACGGUACCUGACUAAGAAGCCCCGGCUAACUACGUGCCAGCAGCCGCGGUAAUACGUAGGGGGCAAGCGUUAUCCGGAUUUACUGGGUGUAAAGGGGGCGCAGACGGCAGCGCAAGCCAGGAGUGAAAGCCCGGGGCCCAACCCCGGGACUGCUCUUGGAACUGCGCGGCUGGAGUGCAGGAGGGGCAGGCGGAAUUCCUGGUGUAGCGGUGAAAUGCGUAGAUAUCAGGAGGAACACCGGUGGCGAAGGCGGCCUGCUGGACUGCAACUGACGUUGAGGCCCGAAAGCGUGGGGAGCAAACAGGAUUAGAUACCCGCGUAU